CGAGAGUCUGAACCAGCCAAGUAGCGUGAAGGAUGAAGGUCCUACGGAUUGUAAACUUCUUUUAUAAGGGAAUAAACCCUCCCACGUGUGGGAGCUUGUAUGUACCUUAUGAAUAAGCAUCGGCUAACUCCGUGCCAGCAGCCGCGGUAAUACGGAGGAUGCGAGCGUUAUCCGGAUUUAUUGGGUUUAAAGGGAGCGCAGACGGGUCGUUAAGUCAGCUGUGAAAGUUUGGGGCUCAACCUUAAAAUUGCAGUUGAUACUGGCGUCCUUGAGUGCGGUUGAGGUGUGCGGAAUUCGUGGUGUAGCGGUGAAAUGCUUAGAUAUCACGAAGAACUCCGAUUGCGAAGGCAGCACACUAAUCCGUAACUGACGUUCAUGCUCGAAAGUGUGGGUAUCAAACAGGAUUAGAUACCCUGGUAGUCCACACGGUAAACGAUGGAUACUCGCUGUUGGCGAUAUACUGUCAGCGGCUUAGCGAAAGCGUUAAGUAUCCCACCUGGGGAGUACGCCGGCAACGGUGCAACUCAAAGGAAUUGACGG
This 540-nucleotide ribosomal RNA is filed under the name uncultured Bacteroidota bacterium. Its description in RNAcentral is "bacterial SSU rRNA". It matches the Rfam family "Bacterial small subunit ribosomal RNA", at positions 376 to 916 of the family's 1533-position model. The record is from RNAcentral. Lineage: Bacteria; Pseudomonadati; Bacteroidota.